Molecule: ribosomal RNA, 556 nt
Filed under: Eimeria christenseni
Lineage: Eukaryota; Apicomplexa; Conoidasida; Eucoccidiorida; Eimeriidae
Description: SSU rRNA
Rfam family: Eukaryotic small subunit ribosomal RNA
Source: RNAcentral
CAUACAGGGCAUUUUAUGCUCUGUAAUUGGAAUGAUGGGAAUGUAAAACCCUUCCAGAGUAACAAUUGGAGGGCAAGUCUGGUGCCAGCAGCCGCGGUAAUUCCAGCUCCAAUAGUGUAUAUUAGAGUUGUUGCAGUUAAAAAGCUCGUAGUUGGAUUUCUGCUGUGGUCAUCCGGUACCGCCCGUAUGGGUGCGCACCUGGUUUGGCUGCGGCUUUCUUCCUGUAGCCGUCCGCGCUUAAUUGCGUGUGUUGUGUUACGGAACUUUUACUUUGAGAAAAAUAGAGUGUUUCAAGCAGGCUUGUCGCCCUGAAUACUUCAGCAUGGAAUAAUAGGAUAGGACCUUGGUUCUAUUUUGUUGGUUUCUAGGACCAAGGUAAUGAUUAAUAGGGACAGUUGGGGGCAUUCGUAUUUAACUGUCAGAGGUGAAAUUCUUAGAUUUGUUAAAGACGAACUACUGCGAAAGCAUUUGCCAAGGAUGUUUUCAUUAAUCAAGAACGACAGUAGGGGGUUUGAAGACGAUUAGAUACCGUCGUAAUCUCUACCAUAAACUAUGC